UCCGCAAGGAAGUAAGAUCCCUGAAAGAUGAUCAGGUUGAUAGGUCUGAGGUGGAAGUGUGGCGACACAUGGAGCUGACAGAUACUAAUCGAUCGAGGACUUAACCAUAUUU
RNAcentral lists this ribosomal RNA (112 nucleotides) under Bacillus subtilis KCTC 1028 = ATCC 6051a. Its description in RNAcentral is "Bacillus subtilis KCTC 1028 partial 23S ribosomal RNA". It matches the Rfam family "Bacterial large subunit ribosomal RNA", at positions 2815 to 2925 of the family's 2925-position model. Lineage: Bacteria; Bacillati; Bacillota; Bacilli; Caryophanales; Bacillaceae. The record is from RNAcentral.